AACGAACGCUGGCGGCAUGCCUAACACAUGCAAGUCGAACGAGACCUUCGGGUCUAGUGGCGCACGGGUGAGUAACGCGUGGGAACCUGCCCUUAGGUUCGGAAUAACUCCCCGAAAGGGGUGCUAAUACCGGAUAAUGUCUUCGGACCAAAGAUUUAUCGCCUUUGGAUGGGCCCGCGUUGGAUUAGCUAGUUGGUAGGGUAAAAGCCUACCAAGGCGACGAUCCAUAGCUGGUCUGAGAGGAUGAUCAGCCACACUGGGACUGAGACACGGCCCAGACUCCUGCGGGAGGCAGCAGUGGGGAAUAUUGGACAAUGGGCGAAAGCCUGAUCCAGCAAUGCCGCGUGAGUGAUGAAGGCCUUAGGGUUGUAAAGCUCUUUUACCCGGGAUGAUAAUGACAGUACCGGGAGAAUAAGCUCCGGCUAACUCCGUG
RNAcentral lists this ribosomal RNA (433 nucleotides) under uncultured bacterium. Its description in RNAcentral is "partial 16S ribosomal RNA". It matches the Rfam family "Bacterial small subunit ribosomal RNA", at positions 29 to 507 of the family's 1533-position model. The record is from RNAcentral.